AUUGAACGCUGGCGGCAUGCUUUACACAUGCAAGUCGAACGGUAACAGGCCUUCGGGUGCUGACGAGUGGCGAACGGGUGAGUAAUGCAUCGGAACGUGCCCAGAGGUGGGGGAUAACGCAGCGAAAGCUGUGCUAAUACCGCAUGUGAUCUGAGGAUGAAAGCGGGGGACCAGGCAGCAAUGUUUGGCCUCGCGCCUUUGGAGCGGCCGAUGUCAGAUUAGGUAGUUGGUGGGGUAAAGGCCUACCAAGCCGACGAUCUGUAGCUGGUCUGAGAGGACGACCAGCCACACUGGGACUGAGACACGGCCCAGACUCCUACGGGAGGCAGCAGUUGGGAAUUUUGGACAAUGGGCGCAAGCCUGAUCCAGCAAUGCCGCGUGCGGGAAGAAGGCCUUCGGGUUGUAAACCGCUUUUGUACGGAACGAAAAGGCUCUGGCUAAUACCUGGGGCUGAUGACGGUACCGUAAGAAUAAGCACCGGCUAACUACGUG
Molecule: ribosomal RNA, 492 nt
Filed under: uncultured bacterium
Lineage: Bacteria
Description: partial 16S ribosomal RNA
Rfam family: Bacterial small subunit ribosomal RNA
Source: RNAcentral